CAAACGCAUUAAGCACUCCGCCUGGGGAGUACGGUCGCAAGACUGAAACUCAAAGGAAUUGACGGGGGCCCGCACAAGCGGUGGAGCAUGUGGUUUAAUUUGAAGCAACGCGAAGAACCUUACCAGGUCUUGACAUCCUCUGACAACCCUAGAGAUAGGGCUUCCCCUUCGGGGGCAGAGUGACAGGUGGUGCAUGGUUGUCGUCAGCUCGUGUCGUGAGAUGUUGGGUUAAGUCCCGCAACGAGCGCAACCCUUGAUCUUAGUUGCCAGCAUUCAGUUGGGCACUCUAAGGUGACUGCCGGUGACAAACCGGAGGAAGGUGGGGAUGACGUCAAAUCAUCAUGCCCCUUAUGACCUGGGCUACACACGUGCUACAAUGGGCAGAACAAAGGGCAGCGAAGCCGCGAGGCUAAGCCAAUCCCACAAAUCUGUUCUCAGUUCGGAUCGCAGUCUGCAACUCGACUGCGUGAAGCUGGAAUCGCUAGUAAUCGCGGAUCAGCAUGCCGCGGUGAAUACGUUCCCGGGCCUUGUACACACCGCCCGUCACACCACGAGAGUUUGUAACACCCGAAGUCGGUGAGGUAACCA
This 588-nucleotide ribosomal RNA is filed under the name Bacillus licheniformis. Its description in RNAcentral is "bacterial SSU rRNA". It matches the Rfam family "Bacterial small subunit ribosomal RNA", at positions 852 to 1441 of the family's 1533-position model. Lineage: Bacteria; Bacillati; Bacillota; Bacilli; Caryophanales; Bacillaceae. The record is from RNAcentral.